UACUCCUACGGGAGGCAGCAGUGGGGAAUUUUGGACAAUGGGGGCAACCCUGAUCCAGCCAUGCCGCGUGAGUGAAGAAGGCCUUCGGGUUGUAAAGCUCUUUCGGCCGGGAAGAAAUCGCAUGGGUUAAUACCCUGUGUGGAUGACGGUACCGGAAUAAGAAGCACCGGCUAACUACGUGCCAGCAGCCGCGGUAAUACGUAGGGUGCGAGCGUUAAUCGGAAUUACUGGGCGUAAAGCGUGCGCAGGCGGUUUAGUAAGACAGGCGUGAAAUCCCCGGGCUCAACCUGGGAACUGCGCUUGUGACUGCUAAGCUAGAGUACGGCAGAGGGGGGUGGAAUUCCACGUGUAGCAGUGAAAUGCGUAGAGAUGUGGAGGAACACCGAUGGCGAAGGCAGCCCCCUGGGCCGAUACUGACGCUCAUGCACGAAAGCGUGGGUAGCAAACAGGAUUAGAUACCCUGGUAGUCCACGCCCUAAACGAUGUCAACUAGGUGUUGGGUGGGUAAAACCAUUUAGUACCGGAGCUAACGCGUGAAGUUGACCGCCUGGGGAGUACGGCCGCAAGGUUAAAACUCAAAUGAAUUGACGG
Molecule: ribosomal RNA, 591 nt
Filed under: uncultured Dechloromonas sp.
Lineage: Bacteria; Pseudomonadati; Pseudomonadota; Betaproteobacteria; Rhodocyclales; Azonexaceae
Description: bacterial SSU rRNA
Rfam family: Bacterial small subunit ribosomal RNA
Source: RNAcentral